AUGCAUGCAGCCAGAGUUUGAAGAGUCUAAAGGUGUGCAGAAAGACAUUAGUUCAGUGGAAAUGACAGAGAAUCAAAAGUUGGCAUUAACUAAACAGGUAAGGCUACCUACCUUGUAUAAAAUGAUGAUUUUUCUCGGUUUCCUUCGUCCUUCCCUCACCCUUUGCUAGCAUGCAGCCAGAGUUUGAAGUCUCUAAAGUUGUGCAGAAAGACAUUAGUUCAAUGGAAAUAACAAAGAGUCAAGAAUCAGCAUUAACUAAACAGGUAACGCAAGCUACAUUUGUGCAUCUGCCUGUAAAUUUGAGUCUAUGAUUUCCCUUGCUUUUUUCAUCGCAUUUACUUGCAUGUUCACUAAUUUUUGUUUCUAAUACUACAGUUGCAGUUUGGACAACUGGAACCUGACUUCAGUCAGUCAGGAAACAGAACAACUGCUCCACUGGAUUUCACUGGAACGACACCUACAUGGUUUGCAGCUAGUGGUCUUCCUGAUGUAUUACCAUCUAACAACAUCCAAAAGGAGUGGACUUGUGCUGUAUGUCAGGUAACAACCACAAGCGAAGCAGACCUUAUUUCCCAUCUUCAUGGAAGGCGACACGAGUCUGCUUGUGAGAAGCUGAAAGCCUACAACCAAACAUCGAAAAGCAAGGUUUCCUCAGCUUCAGCUAUGGAAAAUGCAAAUGCUGCAGAAAGUAGAGGCAACUCACCUGAUACUAAGCAAACCCACAAGCCAUGGACUUGUGCUACAUGUCAUGUAACAACCACAAAUAAAGCAGAUCUUGUUUCCCAUUUUCAAGGAUUGCGACAUAAGGACGCUUUGGAGAAACUGAAAGCGAAAUUUCAGACAUCUGAAGACAAAACUCAUUCUGCUUUAGCAGCAAUAGCUGGUAGAGAUGUUCCUAACAUUCCAUGGACUUGUGCUGUAUGUCAGCUAAAAAUCACAAAUUUGGCAAGCCUUGUUUCGCAUCUCGAAGGAAGGCGACAUGAGGAUGCUUGCAAGAGCUAUCAAGCCAAGAUCAAUAGUAUAAAAUCAUUGCGGUGUACCAUAUGUAAUAUAAGCUGCAGCAGUGAAGGAAACAUGAAAUCUCACCUUAUGGGGAGCAAGCACUUGACCAAUACUGGAGCUCAACAGCAGACUUGAUUCAUGACACUGCUGCAUGGAGAAAUUUUACAGUACAACUGUGUUGUAUGAUAUAAAUUUUCCGGUGCAUGUAGACUAUAUAUUUGUGUGUAGGAAGAACUAGCUAUGGAUUUGUGGGCUCUUAUAUAAGACUCGAUCAACUACCCAGAAUUUGACUCUGAAUCGUAAUCUGUAUCCUACUACUUCAUUUCUGGUUGUAUUUAUAAAAGUUCAGGGCAACCUACCUGAUCUUUGAACUCGUUCAACAUCUAAAUUCGUUUUGAAUCGGAUAGAAGUUUAUUAUUUUUAAAUUAUCUAAAAUCUUUUUAAAAUCAAUUUUUAUUACUCAAAAAAUAUCCGAAUCCAUUUAAUUUUUCAAAAUUUAUUUUAACAAUUCAUAUAAAAUAUAAUUUAAAAGGUUAAUUUAUAUUUUAAAAUUUUAAUAAUUAAAUAAAAUAUUAAAUUAUAUUUAUAUCAUGUAUAGUGUAAAAAAGUUUUAAAUAUUAAUAAAAAAUAUAUUUAAUCAUUUAUUUAUAUAUAUAUAAUUUGAUAAAAUAUAUUCAAGUCUGAUAAAAUCGAAUGGGCCAAACCUGUCAGUGCAGAGGAUGUGUGGGCUUUCGGAUGAUAAGCCUUUAUCGCAGGCUUGGCCUUUGACCGGGAUGGAAAAACCCAGCGGUCAUCAACAGUAAUCGUGUAAGUUUAGUCAGAGAGAAAAAUAUUUCUCCAUUUUUAUUUCUUUCCAUUUAUCUGCUAGUGACACCUAACGGCCUGUCUAUUACAGUGCCGCCUGUUUAUGUCACGCGGGUCCAUACAUACGAAAAUGUCAGUGCCUCCUUCACUAUACCAGGCGAUUAUUUAAUUCCCCCCGACGCACAGGUGGGCAGGACUGCGACUUUUACUUGCUGAAUCUAUACUCGCGGGUGACCCCUGUAUCUGAAUCAAGGUUGGAGAUGCUGGCCCGAUCGUUUAAGGAGGAUUUCAUGGACUUAGAGCUGGCACUGUCUUCUUGAAUCCGGUCUGAUCAUUUAAGGAAGAUUUCAUGGACUUAGAGCUGGCACUUCUUCUUGAAUCCGGCCUAAUGUUGGAGUGGCAAAAUCCGACGGUCAUCAUUAAUUAAAUAUAAAUAAUUAAAUGCAUAUGAGAAUAUGAGAAUCAAAUGCAUAAAAUUGAUAUUGAAUUAACAUUAAUUUAUAGUAAUUCUAUUUAUAGUAAUAAAUAUAAUUAAAAAUUUUAAUUACAUGAAAAUAAUCUAAAUUUUAAUAUCACAUCUAAAUCUUAUUAUACAUUUAAAUAUUACAUUAGCUUAACAAUCAUGAUUUAUUUAGCUUAACAAUCAUGAUUUUAAAUUUAUAGACUACGCAAAUUAUUCUAAUAAAAGACCUUAAGAGUUUUAAAUUUUAAAUAUUGUGAAUUUUACCUCUAUCAAUUCUCAUGCGAAUGUGAAUAUAAAUGUGAAUAUAUUUAUGAAUAAAGAAUUUUUUUCGUAUAUCAUUGAAUGUGAGCGGAGAAAAUAUCUUCUUUUAGUAUUACUUGUGAGUAGAGAAAUAUUCUCUUGGCAUUACUUUUAAAUGAUUCUUUUAUUCUGGUAUCGAAGAUUUAUUUUUUCCCGAGAAUGUGAAGGAGACUUCUCUUUUAUUGGCAUUGCCGACUUGGAUUUGUUACGGUAUUGAUAUGAAUUUAGUGUUUUUGGUUUUGGCUUGAUUUUUUGUUCAUAUGACUUUUUUUUUUCAUCGUUUUUUCUUUUUCUAUCUUAUAUUGAAUCUCUCAAUCACACAAGUUCCUUCUCUUGAUAAAAUUGCUAUGAUACCCAUUAUUGAUUUUUGGAGGAAAAGAAAAAUAAGAGAAUCAAAUGCAUAAAAUUGACAUUAAUUUUAUUCAUGAUACUGUUAUUUAUAGUAGCAGAAUCAGUUUCACUUUGCUGAAACAGGUCGAAAUUAACAAAGAAAUGGGUAAGGCCAGUGUUCACCGAAUGCUGAUAACAUGAUAAAUUCAAGGAGGCUGACGUGAGAGUUGAUGGGGGUGAUAAGAGCUUGGAGCUCGUCUUGGCACGAGGGAAAAGAACGAGAAGAAAGGCCUAAGCCCUCUAAGCCUCUUUUGCAGGCCACUGCUCCAAAUUCAAAUCCUAAAAAAUUAUCACUUGCCCAAAGAUGACCACUUUCAGCUAAGCCAAUCUUUAAAUUUCCUUUCAUAAUUUGUUUUUAAUUCUUUCUUUUUACGGGAAACUGAUAGAAAUUAGUACGGGAAAACAGAACUUGUCCCCAAGUUUAACGUUUUCCACGCUGAUUCUGCCAAACAUAAUUUAUUUAAAAAAAUUCUUUAUUGUUCACUUAAUCCCUUAAUAAAACUAAGAUGUAAAAUUCCUAUUAUUAUAUUUUUAAAGCCUAUUUUUUUUAAUUUUAUAAUUUUCUGGUAAUUUAACCCUAAUUAUCUAUCAUUAGUAUUAAUUUUUAAAAUUAAAUUUAUUUUAAAUUCAAUUAUAUAAUAUCUAAAUUCAUUUGCGGAGUAAAAUCAAGUACUUUAAUUUGUAAUUAGUCAAUAAAAUUAGGUAUAGUGAACGCUUUUUCCCAAACCGAAACGUCCUUUGGGGCCACGAGAGUCAACUAUAUGCGAGUUUGUGAAAGAGAUUUUGACUUUUCAAGGGGAAACCAUAUGUAAACAAACGGACAUUCUAGGAUUUCGCUCUCCAAAAAAAUCUAUUUACAUCAAAUUUAUAAGUAUUUAUAAUAUAAAAUUAUAAUAAAAUAUAUUUAAAAAAACUCUUUACUUAGCUUAAAAGAAAAUUAUCCUUCAUUUUCGUAGAUUUUCCUAAUAAUAAUUAGGUAAAUAAAUGAUAAACUAAUAAUAAUUAGGUAAAUAAAUGAUAAAUAAAUAAAAGAGAGGUUUUAUUUUGAUGAAUUAAAUCUAAAAAGUAAAAGAAAAUAAUAAUUUAAAUAAGUGAGAAUAUCAAUGGAAAAGAAAUUCUAGCUGACGUGGUUUGUUCAGAAUUGAUCAUUUAAGACUCCUAUUUUAUUUUAAUAAAUUAGUUUUAGUUGUGGAAAACGCUUCUUACAAUCAAAUUCCUCCUUAUAAUUUAAAAUAAAUAAUUAUAAAUAAUUAAAUUUUAUUAAUUUUAAUAAAUAUAUUUUAAAAUUUUUUAAUAAAUAUAUUUUAAAUUAAUAUUUUAAUUUGAUUUGAUAUUUAAUAUAUAUUCAAUUUAUUUAUAUUUUCAAAUCACAUAUUUUUAAAAGUUGAUAACUUAUUUUUUGAGAUUUUUUUAAUAAUUAUAAAUACAAAGUUUUAUAUAGUUAUAUGUUAAAAAUUGUUGUCAUAACAUUAUUUCUAGUGAAGUAAGAAUCCUGAUUUUUCUCUAUUUGAAAAAUUAAACUAGUCUGAAAAAUAAUAAUUAAUUUAAUAAAUUUAAACUGAUUAAAUUUAUUAGAGAAUAUAUAAAUUAUAAUCAUAAAUAAAAUUAAAUUUAACUAUUUUCAAUUAAUUUAACUUAAUUUUUAACUAAUUUUUCAUAAGGAAAAUCGUGAUUCUUGAUUUAAUAAAUAUAAUAUUAUCAUAAUACUUAUCGUCACUUAUAAUUAUUAUACUUAUUAUUGUAAAAAAAAUCAAAAAAUAAAUUAUUGGCUUUUAAAAAUAUUUCAUUCAAAAUUAUAAAUAAAUGGAAUCAACAUUAGAAAUUAAAUAAAAAAAAUUCAUUUAUGAUGUAUUUAUUAAAAUAAAAAAUUUAGAAUAUAAUUAUUAAAAUUGAUAAUAUUUGAAAAUUUUUUUGCAAUUAUUUAUUUUAAGUUAUCAAAAUUUUAAUUUUUAAUACUGAAAUGGUUACGUGAUAUUUUUAUUAAAUUUAAUGGUUAAAUUUAAUAAUAAAUGUAAAUAAAUUUAAGUUAUUAAUUGAUAAUAUAGUAAUUAAUUUUAAAAUAUAUAUGUUAAAAUGCAAAUAUUAUCCCUAAAUUUAUUAUCUUGUGUUUGUAUAUAUGAAUUUACAUAUAUCUCUUAUUUAAAAUCAAUAAUUUCAUAAUAAUUUAAUUUAAUUAAUUAAUUAACUUUUUAUUAAUUUUAUUAUUUAAAAUUAAAAAUUUUAAUUCUUCUAAAUCUUCAAAAAAUUCAUAUUAAAAGAAAUAAAAAAACAAACAAUAUUGUAUAAAAAUUCAUUUCAAUUUGUUGUUAUAAAAUAGAUUGUUCCAAACCAAACUUAUAAAUGUUAAGAAAGUCGCCUAACCAAAAUUUAAUUGAGGGAGGAAAGUCGGCAUUUGGAAAAUCAAGUACGUCCUUGUGUGAAACUGCUUUGCAGGUUCCCACCAUACUUGCUUUUGCUUUUUCACUUAAACUGCAAAAUUUUUAUUCGUUUGCUUGGCCGUGUUGUUUAGGUGUUUGAGCAGCUUUUUAAUGGAGAUUUAAGCCAAUGAAUCUCUUCUUCAAGGGAUUCAUAUCCUUCCAAGAUGGGAAUAAUGGGUAGUUUCUUCAAGUUUUCAGGGCACUGCUUUGAUGUUCUUGCAUGGUAAGCAGAUUAUCAAUCUCCCAAGAAUUUGGAAUCUUGUCUUGAAAUCAUUACUUCCUCUUGUAUUUUGUUUCUGUUUGGAUCUUUUUCUUUCUUCUCAGUGAAGGAAUCUUCAGUUUCCCCUUUAUGAGCAUUAACAAUUAAGCACUUGACUUUACUGAUUUUAUCUUCCAAUUUUUUUCCCCAUUUUGCAAAAUUUCCCCUAAUUUUGAUUUUAGGUUUUGCUUACCAUUUUCUCUGAUUGGUUCUGUUCUUGCAGGCCCCUCUUUGCUCUGGUCUAUCCCUUGUAAGUCUUGGAAACUUUACUGAAUGCUACACUUAGUUCAAUUAUGCAUUAUUCUUUUAAUAUAAUCUGUUUUAUAUCUCUUCAGAAAUUUCAACUAUAAUGCAGAAAUUGAUUAUUUUGUAACUGAUUGUUAAUUCUUGUACUGAAUAGGUAUGCUUCCAUUCAAGCAAUUGAGACUAAUUCCAUCUCCGAUACCCAGAAGCUGAUUUCUUAUUGGGUCUGCUUUUCAUUGAUUUUGCUGUUUGAAAAUGCUUUUUCUGAGUUACUUGAAUGGUAAUAUUCUAUUCUUCAUUUUUCAGUUUCAAUGAUCAGCUUGAAUGGUCUGCUUUUCAGUUUCAAUGAUCAGUUUCUGGGUUAAUGAAUGGUCUGCUUCUCAGUUUCUGAUUUCAAUUUUUAUGCACUAUAUCCAUAAAUAGUUCUAACUGUAUACGAAUGAUAAUCAAAUAUUCACCCUUAUGGCUUGUAGAGGACCUACCUAUAUCUGCCAUGUGUGAACUUGCUCUUGAACUUACAUGUACGGACAAGCAUGAAAUUUUUUAGUCUAAUUCUGCUUUUUAAUUUAUACGCCUUACAGAAACUUUUCCCAUCUUAUGCAAUCAUGAAAAAGCUUCUGCAUUAAGGAUAUUUAUUGGUGUAAGCUUAAUAGGAUAUGGUAAUGAGUUUGUUUGGUUAUUAACAGAAGCUGAUCAUUAGUGGGUCUGCUUUCCGUUGGUUUUGCUCCUUGAACAUGUGUUUCUGAACCUAUUUCUAUGGUAAUUCUGCAUCUCAAUCUGUUGGAACUCAGUAAGAGUUAUUAUUUAAUUUCUUUUGCCUGUUGCAGCUUACCAUGGUGGACUUACAUUAAGGUUCUUAUUGUUGGCUGCUUGGUUACUCCUCACUUUGAGGGUUCUCUUUAUGUCUAUAAACACAUUGUUCAUCCAUGUCUCUCUAUCGACCUACACGUGCUCCUCAACGAAUUGGUCAACGUGAUGGCAGUCCUCAAGCAGGAGAAAGUUCUAGCAGAGGCGAAAAAUGCAAAGGAUACUGCAGGUGAAGCUUUGCAGAAUCUUACUGCUCUCAAGGUAUGCAAUCAGCAUCCUGUUCCAUUUUUGCAGAAUAGGCUAGUGAAUCAGAAUGCUAAUGCAGCAGACCAUUGAUACAUACUAGAAAUAUGAGAUGAUGAUCAUUAUCGGCUUCCUUCUUCCUCCCCUCACCCUUUGCUACAUGCAUGCAGCCAGAGUUUGAAGAGUCUAAAGGUGUGCAGAAAGACAUUAGUUCAGUGGAAAUGACAGAGAAUCAAAAAUUGGCAUUAACUAAACAGGUAAGGCUACCUACCUUGUAUAAAAUGAUGAUUUUUAUCGGUUUCCUUCGUCCUUCCCUCACCCUUUGCUAGCAUGCAGCCAGAGUUUGAAGUCUCUAAAGUUGUGCAGAAAGACAUUAGUUCAAUGGAAAUAACAAAGAGUCAAGAAUCAGCAUUAACUAAACAGGUAACGCAAGCUACAUUUAUACAUCUGCCUGUAAAUUUGAGUCUAUGAUUUCCCUUGCUUUUUUCAUCGCAUUUACUUGCAUGUUCACUAAUUUUUGUUUCUAUUACUACAGUUGCAGUUUGGACAACUGGAACCUGACUUCACUCCGUCAGGAAACAGAACGACUGCUCCACUGGAUUUCACAGGAACGACACCUACAUGGUUUGCAGCUAGAGGUCUUCCUGAUGUAUUAUUACCAUCUAACAACGUCCAAAACGAGUGGACUUGUGCUGUAUGUCAGGUUACAACCCCAAGCGAGGCAGACCUUAUUUCCCAUCUUCACGGAAGGCGACACGAGUCUGCUUGUGAGAAGCUGAAAGCCUACAACCAAACAUCCAAAAGCAAGGUUUCCUCAGCUUCAGCUAUGGAAAAUGCAAAUGCUGCAGAAAGUAGAGGAAACUCACCUGAUACUAAGCAAACCCACAAGCCAUGGACUUGUGCUACAUGUCAUGUAACAACGACAAAUAAAGCAGAUCUUGUUUCCCAUUUUCAAGGAUCGAGACAUAAGGACGCUUUGGAGAAACUGACAGCGAAAUUUCAGACAUCUGAAAACAAAACUCAUUCUGCUUUAGCAGCAAUAGCUGGAGAUGUUCCUAACAUUCCAUGGACUUGUGCUGUAUGUCAGGUAACAACCACAAGCGAGGCAGACCUUAUUUCCCAUCUUCACGGAAGGCGACAUGAGUCUGCUUGUGAGAAGCUGAAAGCCUACAACCAAACAUCGAAAAGAAAGGUUUCCUCAGCUUCAGCUAUGGAAAAUGCAAAUGCUGCAGAAAGUAGAGGCAACUCACCUGAUACUAAGCAAACCCACAAGCCAUGGACUUGUGCUACAUGUCAUGUAACAACCACAAAUAAAGCAGAUCUUGUUUCCCAUUUUCAAGGAUUGCGACAUGAGGACGCUUUGGAGAAACUGAAAGCGAAAUUUCAGACAUCUGAAGACAAAACUAAUUCUGCUUUAGCUGCAAUAGCUGGUAGAGAUGUUCCUAACAUUCCAUGGACUUGUGCUGUAUGUCAGCUAAAAAUCACAAAUUUGGCAAGCCUUGUUUCGCAUCUCGAAGGAAGGCGACAUGAGGAUGCUUGCAAUAGCUAUCAAGCCAAGAUCAAGAGUAUAAAAUCAUGGUGGUGUACCAUCUGUAAUAUAAGCUGCAGCAGUGAAGGAAACAUGAAAUCUCACCUUAUGGGGAGCAAGCACUUGACCAAUGCUCGAGCUCAACAGCAGACUUGAUUCAUGACACUGGUGCAUGGAGAAAUUUUACAGUACAACUGUGUUGUAUAAUAUAAUUUUUCCGGUGCAUGUAGACUAUAUAUUUGUGUGUAGGAAGACCUAGCUAUGGAUUUGUGAGCUCUUAUAUAAGACUUUGAUCAACUACCCAGAAUUUGGCUCUGAAUCGUAAUCUGUAUCCUAGAACUCCAUUUCUGGUUGUAUUUAUAAAAAUUCAGGGCACCCUACCUGAUCUUUGAACUCGUUUAAUAUAUUAACAUCUAAAUUCAUUUUGAAUCUGAUAGAAAUUUAUUAUUUUUAAAUUAUCUAAACUAAUUUUAAAAUCAAUUUUUAUUACUCGAAAAAUAUCAAAAUCCAUUUAAUUUUUUAAAAUUUAUUUUAACAAUUCAUAUAAAAUAUAAUUUAAAAGGUUAAUUUAUAUUUUAAAAUUUUAAUUAGUGUAAAAAAGUUAUAAAUAUUAAUAAAAAAUAUAUUUAAUCAUUUAUUUAUAUAAAUAAAUUUGGUAAAUAUAUUUAAUAUAUAAAAG
RNAcentral lists this long non-coding RNA (9135 nucleotides) under Manihot esculenta (cassava). RNAcentral's name for it is "long non-coding RNA (MESC_LNC003827)". The record is from RNAcentral. Lineage: Eukaryota; Viridiplantae; Streptophyta; Magnoliopsida; Malpighiales; Euphorbiaceae.